This 73-nucleotide transfer RNA is filed under the name bacterium. RNAcentral's name for it is "tRNA-Lys". It matches the Rfam family "tRNA". From Rfam's summary of the family: Transfer RNA (tRNA) molecules are approximately 80 nucleotides in length. Their secondary structure includes four short double-helical elements and three loops (D, anti-codon, and T loops). The record is from RNAcentral.
GGUCUGGUAGCUCAGCUGGUAGAGCAGUAGCCUUUUAAGCUAACGGUCCUGGGUUCGAACCCCAGCCAGAUCA